GCCUUCGUGAUGUAAUUGGGAGCAGACUCGACUCGUAUUCGAGAGGUCUAAAGUUCGAGUCCCGGCGAGGGCA
This 73-nucleotide transfer RNA is filed under the name Stegodyphus mimosarum. It matches the Rfam family "tRNA". Rfam says of the family: Transfer RNA (tRNA) molecules are approximately 80 nucleotides in length. Their secondary structure includes four short double-helical elements and three loops (D, anti-codon, and T loops). The record is from Rfam by way of RNAcentral. Lineage: Eukaryota; Metazoa; Arthropoda; Arachnida; Araneae; Eresidae.